CUAAAGAAGUUGAACUCACAGAAAUAGAGAGUAGGACAGUGGUUAUCAGGGGCUGGGGUGAAGGAAAGGGAGGGGAUAGGAGACACUGGUCAAAGGGUACAAAGUUUCCAAUAGGAAGAAUAGUUUUAAACAAGCUAAUCUCCUCUGAAAGCUCAGUUCCUCAUCUGUAGAGCACGGAUACAUCAUUAACCUUCUAAGGAUGUUGCUGUGAGAGUAAGAGAUGAUGUUCAGCACAAUACCUAACGCACAGUCAGGUCUCCUUAAGCUUGAACCUGCAUCGCCAUGACCUCUACAUCUCAGGACAGAAAGGCUCACAGCCAGUGUCUCAGUUCCCAAUGAAAAGUGGAUCCCAGACCAGGCUGGACAGCAGGAUCCCUAGGGGAUACCCCACCCUACUGAGUCAGAAUCACCAGAGGUAGAACCUGGGUAUGUAUGUAUGUGUGUGUGUGUGUGUGUGUGUGUGUGUGUGUGUAUGUACAAGAGACAGGGUCCUGCUCUGCAGUCCAGGCUGGAGUGCACUGUCACAAUCGUAGUUCACUGCAGCUUCAAAUUACCCCUGGUCUCAAUCCAUCCUCCCGUCUCAGCCUUCAGAGUAGCUGAGACUACAGGCGCAUGCCACCAAGCCCGGAUACUUUUUUUUUUUUUCUUCCUUUUGGAGAGAGUCUCACUCUGUUGCCCAGGCUGGAGUGCAAUGGUGCAAUCUUGGCUCACUGCAACCUCUGUCUCCCGGGUUCAAGUGAUUCUCAUGCCUCAGCCUCCUGAGUAGCUAGGAUUACAGGCAUACACCACCACAUCAGCGUAAUUUUGCUCUUUCAUUGUUGUUUCUUGUUUGUUUUUCACAAAUAGGACUUUUUAUUUGGUACUGUUUUAAGUCUGAACUUUAAACAGAUUCUUGGACUGGUGGUUCCUAUCCAUCAGCUCAUUCAACUUUAGCAUGUGUCUCGUCCCUAGUGGGUUUUCCAGAACUACUACCUCCACCACGAAGCUCCAUGCCUUUCAAACCCAGGGUUCUCCAGCAUUUUUACUUUUCUAAUGAAGACAUCAUGGAGAGGAUAAAUUGGCAAACCUUUUCUGUAUCUUUUCCAAUGUUGUCUGGAAUCAAUUUAUUGACCACUUCUUUCAAGUCAUUUGUCUGCACCUCUCAGGUCAUGAUUUCCAUCAUCUUCUUCUGGAUUUGGCAGACUGUUGGUGCUAAGCAUAAGAGGUCUUCAGUAUCUGAUUGUUGUGUUUUUUAGUAAAACCAACACAAAACAGAUGAAAGAAGUAACCAUCGGUAGUCCUGACAUCAACAUGAGCUUCAACCAUCGUUGAACAUUUUUCAACCAUGGAACAUAUUUUGUCACAGGUAAGACCCAUGCCAUAGAAAUUAGUCAGGCAGUUUUUGUCCUGAACAUCUUCAGUAAUCAGCUUGAAUUUUCUAAAUGCAACUUCAUCAUUCUGCAAAUCAGCAAGACUCACUUCAAACAGAAGACCCUUGAGACCAUCAGAUGCAAUUUGGGUUCCUUGGGUCCUGGCGACCAAGUCUUUCCAGUAUUUCUUAUAUUGAACAUAGCAGGUGCUUUCACAUCAUACUGAUCUUUCUUAGAGAAUGGACCAACUACUUUCUUCUUAACUCCCUUUUUGCCACCUUUCAUAAGGCACUUGUUCUUAACAACCGCCAUGGUGCUGCUUGGAGUACCAAAAGGCUAAAUUUUAUAUUUUUGGUAGAGACGGGAUUUCAGGAUGUUGGCCAAGCUGCUCUUGAACUCCUGAUGUCAGGUGAUCUGCCCGCCUCUGCCUCCCAAAGUGCUGGGAUUACAAGUGUGGACCACUGCACCCAGCUGUUAUUUAUUUUUUCUUUUUUUGUACAGACAGGGUCUUGCCAUGUUGCCAAGGCUGGCCUGGAACUCCUGGCUUCAAGCAAUCCUCCCACCACAGCCUCCCAAAGCACUGGGAUUUCAGGUGUGAGCCACCAUGCCCAGCCUGGAAUCUAUUUUUAAAGCCAAUCAAGCGUUGAAUAAAAUUGCAACUUGG
RNAcentral lists this long non-coding RNA (2013 nucleotides) under Homo sapiens (human). RNAcentral describes it as "non-protein coding lnc-ZNF705D-2:60". The record is from RNAcentral. Lineage: Eukaryota; Metazoa; Chordata; Mammalia; Primates; Hominidae.